UUCUCUUCAAAGACCAAUUUUCAUCCGAAGGAAAAUAAAUAGCAUAAAAUGGAAUUGCAACAAAGUCUGUAUUAGUUAGAAGACUAAAAGGAAGAAGAUGAAAUAAGGUAAUACGAAGGAUGCUUAUUUUUCUUUUGUUUUAAAAUUUAAUUAUUCGUAUUGAUUUUGGAUUUCUAAUAAUCACUUAGUAAUAUAGAGUGUGUUCUCAAAAGCAAGUUAUUUUUCCACCUUCAAUGGUUAAGCAAAUUGUUGACGAAUUCAAAGGUGUUUUUCUUCUCUGUAGAGGACAAGGGUUAAAAAUUCACUACACAUAUUUCUUUUCUCGGUAUCUACUUUAGCUCUACUUUUGAUUAAUAACUCUUACUUUCUAUUAAAUUAUAGUAUUUAUUUUAUUUAUUCUUUUUUUACUCUAUUUUUGUAACCUCCUCAACUCGGUCUAGACGUUAGACCUGAAUUCGAAUGAUUACAUUGGCCACCGAAAUGGCCCAAUAAGCUAUCGGUGUUUUUAAAACAAUCAUAUUAAAACAUUUGUUCAUUUUAGCAAAAAAUUAGUUAAUUUCUAAUUCAUUUAAUGCUCAAAAUUUAUUU
RNAcentral lists this long non-coding RNA (588 nucleotides) under Gossypium raimondii (Peruvian cotton). RNAcentral describes it as "long non-coding RNA (GRAI_LNC005376)". Lineage: Eukaryota; Viridiplantae; Streptophyta; Magnoliopsida; Malvales; Malvaceae. The record is from RNAcentral.